Molecule: long non-coding RNA, 457 nt
Organism: Boleophthalmus pectinirostris (great blue-spotted mudskipper)
Lineage: Eukaryota; Metazoa; Chordata; Actinopteri; Gobiiformes; Gobiidae
Exons: 2
Source: RefSeq, a predicted model, not a curated record
UUGAGGAACCUGUGCUCGGUUUUUCUGCUGUUUCCGGUCGGACACAUUUGGCCGCUGCACCGGUGAAAAACGUGUUGUAAACAAACGUGCGCGCGCCGCUUUAACCGAUAAAAAAAUAUCAAAUAAAAUAAUAAGAACAAAAGUGACGUCAUCAAAAAGUGAAGCGGACAAACAUGAAGCGGAAACUGAAGCCGAGUCCGGAUCCUGUGGACUAUGAGGUCGGUCUGGUCUCCGGGAGCCUCGCAAAGUCCGGGUCCAGGUCUGGGUCCAGGUCCGGGUCUGAGUCUCUCUCGGCUCUGUUCACCUCCUCAACCCUGAAAACUGAGCCCAAGGUCAGACCUGGUUUAGUCCUGGUUUAGUCCUGGUUUAGUCCUGGUUUAGUCCUGGUUUAGUUCUGGUUUAGUCCUGGUUUAGUCCUGGUUUAGUUCUGGUUUAUUCCACAAAUCACUUUUUUUGU